UGAGGAGUGCUCUUUAAAUAACCUUUGUUUGGAUAUUGUAAUACUGAAUACUUUUGAGAACACUGAUGCUUAUUUUGAACCUCAGUCUCCCUCCCAAACCUGUUUAAGAUAUAACUGUAGUAAUAUGUGGCUUCUUAGCAGUUGAAAGUGAGUAGGCAAUGCAGAUAUCCAACAGGUAUGCGCUGAACCCUCUUCCAUCUUUGAUCACUGACAGGGGUAAGCCAUGGUGGCAAGGCUGAUCUACAGGAUCUCAAGUAGCAGGACAGUCCCUGAAAUUUUCUAAUACAGAAUCUACAGUACCAUGGGUCUGGUUCUUCACUCAAUCAUCUUCUUCUGCCACUCACCACCCAAGGCUUGUCACAGAAGUUGUACACCGAAUGCAAAGUGUUGACGCUGGGCACGCCUGCAUACUGCAAGCCAAUAACAAUGCCACGAUGGUCUCCACCACGAGCCAUGCUGAAGGCAUGCUGGCGGAUCAGGACAAAGUCUGGUUUCAGGCUCCUGGAAGGAAAGGUGUGGCUAUGAAAAGGAAGGGGAGCCAGGAAAAAAAUCUCAUGCAUCUGUCCACAAAACCUGCUUCUUAAUCUACGGUUGCCAUUUCAGGUGCCUAAAUCAAAUCCUCCUGCUCCAAAGGUUCACUUCCUUUGAUCUUCCACUGCCAGCGAGAAAGCUAUAGAUCCUCCAUAGAGGUAGAUAAAAUAACAUAUUAAGAUACAAAAUAAAGGGAAUUCACAGCUUUUAAGGAUCCAUGCAAUUUGCAAAAUUGGUUGUAAGCAGCCCAUUAGUCUUGAUUCAAGUUGGUCUCAUUUCCUCAGUCACUGGAGGAAAAUGAAAAGAUUACUCAUUAAAGCCCAAGGCUGCCACAUUCCCAAGCUCAGGGAUAAACAAUAACUAUGUGUUCACAGACGACACUAAUUUCCAGACAGUGCGCUGUUUAUUCUGCCACCACAAUUCAACCUUCAUGGGUGGUCAAGCUCUAGUAGAAAUUUCCCAGCAAUUAUCAGGGCAUGUACACUUAAGGCUUCUUCCAACACUUUCACUGCAGGCUGUUGCAGGCUGGAAGGCCCCAGGCCAUGUCCCAUUCAAGGCUAUGUCAGAAUUGAUGUAACAAAGAUGGAUGUAUCUAUGUGCUGCACCAGUGGAGUUCAGAGAAGGUGAACUGGCACCAACAUUUAGAAACCAAAAACAUCUUAUUCAUCCAGACAUUUUAACAGAUUUACAGAGUAAUUGAUUUAAUUAAGCGUAUUUUGUCUGUUCGAAGGAUUUAUCUACUGAUUUCUUCUUUGGCAUAUUUGCUGACAUCACCAUCAUCCCAAAGUCUGAUAAAAGGGAUGCAAAAAUACUGCAUUGUGUGAAUGUGUGCAUUUGUAUAUUGUGAACUGUUGUGUUAAAGAAAACAAAUCUUGCCGGAAGCUUCUGUGAUAUUUCAAUCACAGGAUUAAAAACUGAGUGUGUUUAAUCAAGAUGGGAAGAUUUAUCCCCACUAUAAUCUCGCUCCAGAUUAAAAGUUAAAUAAAAUCUCCUUUA
Molecule: long non-coding RNA, 1527 nt
Organism: Candoia aspera
Lineage: Eukaryota; Metazoa; Chordata; Lepidosauria; Squamata; Candoiidae
Exons: 2
Source: RefSeq, a predicted model, not a curated record